UACGUAGGUGGCAAGCGUUGUCCGGAUUUACUGGGUGUAAAGGGUGUGUAGGCGGGAAUGCAAGUCAGAUGUGAAAUGCCGUGGCUUAACCACGGAGCUGCAUUUGAAACUGUGUUUCUUGAGUAGAGGAGAGGUAAGUGGAAUUCCCAGUGUAGCGGUGAAAUGCGUAGAUAUUGGGAGGAACACCAGUGGCGAAGGCGGCUUACUGGACUCUAACUGACGCUGAGGCACGAAAGCGUGGGGAGCAAACAGGAUUAGAUACC
Molecule: ribosomal RNA, 263 nt
Filed under: uncultured bacterium
Lineage: Bacteria
Description: partial 16S ribosomal RNA
Rfam family: Bacterial small subunit ribosomal RNA
Source: RNAcentral